Molecule: unclassified non-coding RNA, 344 nt
Filed under: soil metagenome
Description: partial contains 5.8S ribosomal RNA, internal transcribed spacer 2, and large subunit ribosomal RNA
Rfam family: 5.8S ribosomal RNA (bases 1-120)
Source: RNAcentral
GAUGAAGAACGUAGCGAAAUGCGAUACGUAAUGUGAAUUGCAGAAUUCAGUGAAUCAUCGAGUCUUUGAACGCACAUUGCGCCCCCUGGUAUUCCGGGGGGCAUGCCUGUCCGAGCGUCAUUGCUGCCCUCAAGCACGGCUUGUGUGUUGGGCCUCCGUCCUCCUCCCGGGGGACGGGCCCGAAAGGCAGCGGCGGCACCGCGUCCGGUCCUCGAGCGUAUGGGGCUUCGUCACCCGCUCUUGUAGGCCCGGUCGGCGCUUGCCGACACAUCAAUCUUUUUUCCAGGUUGACCUCGGAUCAGGUAGGGAUACCCGCUGAACUUAAGCAUAUCAAUAAGCGAGGA